Long non-coding RNA from Alosa sapidissima (American shad), 242 nucleotides. RefSeq lists it as uncharacterized. The transcript has 2 exons. NCBI's taxonomy places the organism in Eukaryota, Metazoa, Chordata, Actinopteri, Clupeiformes, Clupeidae. The record is from RefSeq and is a predicted model, not a curated record.
GUAACAGAACACCAACUGAAUUUACGACUUAACUACUCCCUCUCUUAGCGAUGCGCGUUCAUGUGGAUGAUGCCAGUUUUUGCCGUCUUAUAGGGCGACCACGCCCCCCUUCGGAGGAAACAGCGGUAAAAGUGACUGGAGGAAACAGCGGUAAAAGUGACUGGAGGCCAAUGUGUGAUGGAGCUUGGAAGUUGCGCCGCCAUAUCUUACUCGAUAAAUAAAUAAAGUUCACAUAAUUAGUU